AGCAGCCCGCGGUAAUACGAAGGGGGCUAGCGUUGUUCGGAUUAACUGGGCGUAAAGGGCGCGUAGGCGGGUUUUUAAGUCAGAGGUGAAAUCCCAAGGCUCAACCUGGGAAUGGCAGUGGAUACUGGCUCGCUAGAGUGUGUCAGAGGAUGGUGGAAUUCCCGGUGUAGCGGUGAAAUGCGUAGAGAUCGGGAGGAACAUCAGUGGCGAAGGCGGCCAUCUGGGACAACACUGACGCUGAGGCACGAAAGCGUGGGGAGCAAACAGGAUUAGAUACCCCUGUAGUCCCUGUCUCUUAUACAC
Molecule: ribosomal RNA, 303 nt
Filed under: uncultured bacterium
Lineage: Bacteria
Description: partial 16S ribosomal RNA
Rfam family: Bacterial small subunit ribosomal RNA
Source: RNAcentral